CCAAAAAUGUUGGUUAAUUUCCCUCUUUUACUA
RNAcentral lists this transfer RNA (33 nucleotides) under Eurycea quadridigitata. RNAcentral describes it as "partial tRNA-Met". The record is from RNAcentral. Lineage: Eukaryota; Metazoa; Chordata; Amphibia; Caudata; Plethodontidae. RNAcentral also lists the same sequence under 1 other name.